AUCCUGCUUCCAGAUGCAAGACUCUGAGCAGGCACAAGGACAUUCCCGAAGCAGCUGGGAGCAGGGAGCUUGAGGUCAAAAUCCAAAGUCUAGUGGCUUCCAGCUUGGCCCUCACUUCGCCCUCCUUCUCCUCUUCUUGGCCCUCAGAUAUUUAGAAUGAUGCAUUACACUCCGUAGUGGUUUGUGUAAGUGUCCCCCCCCCCCCAGCCCUGGCAUCUAGACACUUGGUGUGGUCCCCACUUGGUGGCGCUGUGUGGGGAGGCUGUGCCACAGUCUGCUUCAUUCAGCUCCCUGAGGUUAGCACUGUCUGAUAUUACUAACUGGAAUUUUCCAGGAAUAAAAAAAAAA
This 348-nucleotide long non-coding RNA is filed under the name Mus musculus (house mouse). RNAcentral's name for it is "long non-coding RNA chr11:109344285-109344633". The record is from RNAcentral. Lineage: Eukaryota; Metazoa; Chordata; Mammalia; Rodentia; Muridae.